GACCUAAACCAGUGGCUCCGGCUGCUGGUAUGGUCAAAAGUCCGGUCAAGGCCAGAAAACCCGUCGUGGGUUCUUGCCUUGACCGGUCAUGCAGGGAAACUUGCAUGAGUGGCUUCGGCCACU
Molecule: small RNA, 123 nt
Filed under: unclassified sequences
Description: LOOT RNA
Rfam family: LOOT RNA
About the family: Latescibacteria, OD1/Parcubacteria, OP11, TM7.
Source: Rfam by way of RNAcentral